This 1217-nucleotide ribosomal RNA is filed under the name Glycomyces buryatensis. RNAcentral's name for it is "Glycomyces sp. 18 partial 23S ribosomal RNA". It matches the Rfam family "Bacterial large subunit ribosomal RNA", at positions 708 to 1796 of the family's 2925-position model. Lineage: Bacteria; Bacillati; Actinomycetota; Actinomycetes; Glycomycetales; Glycomycetaceae. The record is from RNAcentral.
UGUAGACCCGAAGCGGGGUGAUCUACCCAUGUCCAGGGUGAAGCGGCUGUAAGAGGUCGUGGAGGCCCGAACCCACCUAGGUUGCAAACUGGGGGGAUGAGGUGUGGGUAGGGGUGAAAGGCCAAUCAAACUCCGUGAUAGCUGGUUCUCCCCGAAAUGCAUUUAGGUGCAGCGUUACAUGUUGCACGGGCGUGGUAGGGCGCUGAUUGGGUGAUGGGCCGUGUCGGUUACUGAGCUCAGUUAAACUUCGAAUGCGUCUGUGUUGAGUGUGGCAGUGAGUCGGCGGGUGAGAAGAUCCGUCGUCGAGAGGGAAACAGCCCAGAUUACCGGCUAAGGCCCCUAAGGGUGUACUGAGUGGAAAAGGAUGUGGGAUCGCGUUGACAGCCAGGAGGUUGGCUUAGAAGCAGCCAUCCUUGAAAGAGUGCGUAAUAGCUCACUGGUCGAGUGGUUCCGCGCCGAUAAUGUAGCGGGGCUGAAGUACACCGCCGAAGCCGUAGCAAUGCCUGGUUCCUUUGGGAGCUGGGGUUGGGUAGGGGAGCGUCGUGCACGCGGUGAAGCCAGAGCGUGAGCUAGCCCUUAAGGGUGUGCUGGUGGAGUGUGUGCGAGUGAGAAUGCAGGCAUGAGUAGCGAAACACCUGUGAGAAUCAGGUGCGCCGAUUGACUAAGGGUUCCAGAGGACGGUUGUUCCGCUCUGGGUUAGUCUGGGCCUAAGGCGAGGCCGAGAGGCGUAGUCGAUGGAUAACCGGUUGAUAUUCCGGUACCCGAGUAUCGCGUAUGAGUGAUAGCGGUUGUGCUAACCGGCUGGAAGCGUGCGUCGGGUGUCCUUCGGGAUGCUUGGUGUGGGUGACUGGUUGGGGUCCCUGCCGUGUGUAGCGUAGUGAUGGGGUGACGCAGUGGGGUAGUCGUACCGUCUGGUGGAUCAGGCGGGGUAAGGUGGUAGCCCGUUUUCCCAGGCAAAUCCGGGAGAACAGCAGCGAGAGUUGCAGGGUGAGCGCUGAAGCAUAGCCCUUGAGGGUGAAUUCGGUGAUCCCGUGCUGUCGAGAAAAGCCUCUAGCGAGUGGUAUUCGGCCAGUACCCUAAACCGACACUGGUGGUCAGGUAGAGUAUACUGAGGCGUUCGAGUGAUGUGUGGUUAAGGAACUCGGCAAAUUGCCUCCGUAACUUCGGGAGAAGGAGGGCCCCUGUUCGUGGUGCGAAGCGCACGGAAGCGAAGGGGG